This 366-nucleotide long non-coding RNA is filed under the name Geospiza fortis (medium ground-finch). Its description in RNAcentral is "lncRNA (ENSGFOG00000005313.1)". The record is from RNAcentral. Lineage: Eukaryota; Metazoa; Chordata; Aves; Passeriformes; Thraupidae.
CUGGAGCUUGCAGGAGAAAUUUACAGAAGAGAACAACAGCCAGGAGAAGAGAGCUUUGCUGUGGAGAGGCCGGGCUUGCAGCAUCCUCACAGGAGAUUCUGAAACUGAGAAUUCUGAGAAGACUCUGAGGCUGCUCCCAUUGUGAAAACUUCCAGAGUCCAUCCCUGGAUGUCCGUGUUUCCUGGCUGCCGCUGUUCUCCAAAGCAGCUCUGAAACAAAAACCCCGAGGAGCCUCUGCCACAGCCAUUAUCCUUGGAUCACAGCACUGCUGGAAAAUCUACAAAUACAGAAUAAGCAGGAGGCGCCCGGGCCGGGCAUGAGUGUCCCAGAGGCCCAUGCCCUUCUCCAACAGCUCUGAGCUCAGCC